UACAGAGGUCUCAAGCGUUGUUCGGAUUCAUUGGGCGUAACGGGUGCGUAGGUGGCGUCGUAAGUGGGGUGUGAAAUCCCGGGGCUUAACCCCGGGACUGCAUUCCAUACUGCGGUGCUUGAGGACUGGAGAGGAGACUGGAAUUUACGGUGUAGCAGUGAAAUGCGUAGAGAUCGUAAGGAAGACCAGUGGCGAAGGCGGGUCUCUGGACAGUUCCUGACACUGAGGCACGAAGGCCAGGGGAGCAAACGGG
RNAcentral lists this ribosomal RNA (253 nucleotides) under uncultured bacterium. RNAcentral's name for it is "partial 16S ribosomal RNA". It matches the Rfam family "Bacterial small subunit ribosomal RNA", at positions 524 to 776 of the family's 1533-position model. The record is from RNAcentral.